Long non-coding RNA from Oreochromis aureus, 4138 nucleotides. NCBI's taxonomy places the organism in Eukaryota, Metazoa, Chordata, Actinopteri, Cichliformes, Cichlidae. The record is from Ensembl.
GCCGGACUUCAUUCCACAGAUGUGCUUUAACAAAGUGUGAAGCUGAACUCUGAGCUGUGACAGUGUGAGCAGUGUGAGAGUGUCAGUAGAUGAUCAGCAGAGGAAAGUGAGAGCUGCUGUGAGCUGAUGUCCUGAAGGGCUUUUAAAGAGUCUCUGAGUUUGACAGGAACAUGAAGAUGUUUGUGGUGUUUGUGAUCCUCCUGCACGUUUCCCAGCAUGCCUCAGCUGUGGAGAUGUAUGAGGGGGACUCGUUCAUCCUGCCCUGUCAGUUUCCCACUUUUAAUUUUCCAAACCCCUCAGUGGUGUGGAGUCACUCCGACCUCAGUCCUCCAACCGUCCACCAGCGUCAGCUUGAAGGAGACGAACUGAAAGAUCAAAACCAGCGUUACAGCGGCCGAACAUCCAUGAAGACUGACGCUCUGGAAACUGGAGACCUCAGCCUGACCCUGACCAACCUCCAACUGUCUGACAGCGCCACCUACACCUGCUCCAUCAGAGACUUUGGACGUGAACUGAGUCGGAGUGAUGUACAGCUGGAGGUCAAAGAACGGUUUCCAUCCUGGGCCAAAGCUCUCCUGGUUCUCCUGGUUCUUCUUGUGGUUUCCGGAGGACUUUUAUUUCAUUUCCGGCACUAUUUCAUGUCAGUCCCCUGGGUGGAGGUGGAUUCAGGGGUGGAGUCUGUCCAGCUGAUCUGCAAAACCACAGUUUGCCUGCCUAAAGAUGAUAAAGUGGAGUGGAAGGACAAAAACAACAGGAAGGUCCACGUGUAUGAGAACGGCUCUGACCAGCCUGAAGAACAGGACGAUAAAUACAAGAACCGAACGAAGAUGAAGAGGAAGGUCCUGGAACCUGGAGACCUCAGUCUGACCCUGAAAUACCCCACAGAUGGAGACAACUCCACCUACACCUGCACCGUCUACAGCAGGGAGGGAAACACCCUGAUGGAGAAACAAGUGGAGCUGAAAGUCAGAGUCCCCCAGGUGGAGGUGGAUUCAGGGGUGGAGUCUGUCCAGCUGCCCUUCAACACCACACUUCACCUGCCUGAAGACACUAAAGUGGAGUGGAUGGAAAGUUACAGGAAGGUCCACGUGUAUGAGAACGGCUCUGACCAGCCUGAAGAACAGCACCAGGAUUACAGAGACCGAACGAAGAUGAAUGAAGACCUGCUGAAAACUGGAGACCUCAGUCUGACCCUGAAAUACCCCACAGAUGGAGACAACUACACCUACACCUGCACCGUCUACAGCAGGGAGGGAAACAUCCUGCUGAAGAGAAAGGUGGAGCUGAAAGUCAGAGUCUGUCAGGUGGAGGUGGAGGAGGGGGCGGAGUCUGUCCAGCUGCCCUUCAACACCACACAAAACCUGCCUGAAGAUGCUGAAGUGGUGUGGUGGCAUUAUGAUCCAUUAAUGUUGGCCCACCUAUAUAAGAACGGCUCUGACCAGCCUGAAGAACAGCACCAGGUUUACAGAGACCGAACGAAGAUGAAUGAAGACCUGCUGAAAACUGGAGACCUCAGUCUGACCCUGAAACACCCCACAGAGAGAGACAGUGGGAGAUACAGGUGUAGAGUCUACAUUGAGAGGAUCUCCAGAUUCAAAACAGUGCUGCUCAAGGUCAAAGGGAGAGUUCAGGUCCAGGAUCAAACAGGGGACAUCAGGAACAGAAGCAGCUCCAUUGAUCCGACUCCUCUGAUGGCUGAUCAAUCAGUUUGAUCUGUGUGUUCUUUGAUUAUUGAUCAGUGAUGUCAGAGUGGAGUCAGUGUGAUGUUGUUGUUGUGUGUUUGAGACUUUUAGUGUCCAUGAAGGUCUCUGCUGCCGUAGAUCCUCUGAACUGUGACAGAGGUCUCACUCUGGAGGAAACUCUCAGCACUUUCCAGCAGCUCCUCCAUCAUGGAGGACGUUCCCUCACUGUAACAGGUGGAGGAGAGAGGAGAGGAAGCACAGGUGGAUCCUCUGAGGAAGAGGAGCGUUCCUACAAACCACAUGAUCACAUGACCAGAGGGGCGUGGCCUUCAGUGGUAGUAAUAAAGGAACAGUCCACAUGUUCCUCUUUGAAGGCUCAUCUCCAACAAAGCAGACCUGUGAUCACUUUACAGUUUUUUGUUGUUGUUUUUUUUACAGACGCUAGGACACAUUUCUCAAUACUUAGGUCACUUUUGCAAAACUCUUCACACAAUUCUCCUAACUGACCCUCAGCUUGGCAAAGCAGUUCAUUUCACAUUCAAAAUGCACUACAACUACCAAAACACUUUAUUCAGGUCUCAAAUAAACUCAUUCUUCCAGAACACUAGCAAAGGUUGACAGCCAACAAACACACUUUGUCACCCACAAAACAAUGACCUAAAAAACACUAACAACAUGUAGCAUUACACAGUGUUUUCUUGUGUAAAACAGGGACACAUCUCUGUUCAUAAUUUCAAUAUAUGUUACUGGAAUGAAUCAGACAUCAUGCAGAAUUCGUUAAUAUUUGUUUAUGUAUUUUUAUUUUUUUGCACUAAGUAAUCCCAAAAUACAAGAAUUUGUAUACACACCAUCCACUGAUACACAUACAAUAGUAAUGCUAAUCUACUCGGUCUUCUCCAUUUGGCCACAGGUUCUCAUCCACAUCACAUCUUAUGUCAUCUAGGGCAAUACACCUAGGAAAGAAUCUUCUGGCAUGCCUGAUCCAUCCCUGGCAAUCUUCUGCUGAUAUCUCCAGGCAUCCAGCAUUCAUUGCAUCCAGGAGGGACAUUUGAUCAUGUGGAUGAUGGUCGUAAACCUUCCACCGCCAUGAGGAAAAGAAUUCCUCUAUGGGGUUGAAGAAUGGAGAGUAAGGUGGGAGGAAAAGAGACUCCAUUCUGGGAUGGGCUGCAAACCACUCGGUGACUGCACGGGAGUGAUGAAAUGCCACCUUGUCCCAUACAAUUAUAAAUGUUGGCUGAUUCCUUCUAGAGAUGGACCGAUCCGAUAUUACGUAUCGGUAUCGGUCCGAUACUGACCUAAAUUACUGGAUCGGAUAUCGGAGAGAAAUAAAAAAUGUAAUCCGAUCCAUUAAAUAUCAAAAAAACACCUCACAAAACUUGCCACACGGCGUAACUCUGCUCAUAACCGUAGCACGUCAGAGCAGUGUGCUCACGUGAUAGAGAGGCUGUGUGUAUUUGUAGCCUCGCUACCAAACCAGCAUUUCAUCUCCGAGGAAGUUAUCCCAGAGAGAAGUAAAGCAAGUGUGUAAGUUCAUCUCUGAAUGUUUAUAAAGCGUUCCCACGUUAAGCUUAACAACCGAUAUAUGGAGCGACUGCCUCUCUCCCUCACCUUCCUGCUGCUACUUCAAUGGUGAAACUGCUUAAUGAUCAGCUGAUGGGCUUUUCUGUCGCGAGUCCGUCUCUCUUCUUUGUAUUUGGUCCACUUUGCACCAGAAAGAGGAAACCAGCGGCUGAACAACAGCAGCACGUUUAACCUUGAUAAGCUGUUGUUAGAAUUUAUUUAAUAUUACUUUCUACACCAGGAUCCUUUUCUACGUAGCUGACGGCUGGUAACUGUGCAGGGGCGGAUCUAGCAAAGUUUAAGCAGGGGGGCCGAUAGGGCAUGAACAGGGAAAAGGGGCACAAAGACAUACUUCUCUUUCUUAUUCUCAUUUAAAAUGUCUAGCUUUUAAUAAAUAAUUAUCUGAAUCUUACACCCAAAGUUUUAAUCUGAUGUAAAAUGUAUAGAAGUCCAUUACUGUAUAUAGUAACUGCUAAGUCUAAUUUACCCUAGUAAGCUAUAGUACUUUUUCCUUUGGGAAGGUACCAUCUGUGAAUUCUGCAAUUCUGUUGAAGAAAGAUGUUGAAUCUAUUUAAUUAUUCUUGAAAAAUAAUUUAUUUCUGUGCAUUUUUUUUCACCCUGCAUCAAAUUAAAGUUGAUUACGUCGAUUAAGCAUCAUGAGGUGGAGGGUGGAGGGUGGUUCCCCAUUUUCUUUUGCUGCACUGUAAAAUGUAAUUCUAGAUGUUUGUUAUUUCAACAUAUUAUUCUAUAUCAGUUUGACGAUAGAUGACUGAAGUUGUUGUUAUAACAUAGAAUUACAAGUUAAAACGUCCCAAUUACACCAAAAAGCUAACUUGAAAACUCAUGUCCAGCUAAAUCAGCAACUUAUGUGAACUUGACAAUGUGGGUAAGUUGAG